GGUUAAGCGACUAAGCGUACACGGUGGAUGCCCUGGCAGUCAGAGGCGAUGAAGGACGUGCUAAUCUGCGAUAAGCGUCGGUAAGGUGAUAUGAACCGUUAUAACCGGCGAUUUCCGAAUGGGGAAACCCAGUGUGAUUCGUCACACUAUCAUUAACUGAAUCCAUAGGUUAAUGAGGCGAACCGGGGGAACUGAAACAUCUAAGUACCCCGAGGAAAAGAAAUCAACCGAGAUUCCCCCAGUAGCGGCGAGCGAACGGGGAGGAGCCCAGAGCCUGAAUCAGUGUGUGUGUUAGUGGAAGCGUCUGGAAAGGCGCGCGAUACAGGGUGACAGCCCCGUACACAAAAAUGCACAUGCUGUGAGCUCGAUGAGUAGGGCGGGACACGUGGUAUCCUGUCUGAAUAUGGGGGGACCAUCCUCCAAGGCUAAAUACUCCUGACUGACCGAUAGUGAACCAGUACCGUGAGGGAAAGGCGAAAAGAACCCCGGCGAGGGGAGUGAAAAAGAACCUGAAACCGUGUACGUACAAGCAGUGGGAGCACGCUUCGGCGUGUGACUGCGUACCUUUUGUAUAAUGGGUCAGCGACUUAUAUUCUGUAGCAAGGUUAACCGAAUAGGGGAGCCGAAGGGAAACCGAGUCUUAACUGGGCGUUAAGUUGCAGGGUAUAGACCCGAAACCCGGUGAUCUAGCCAUGGGCAGGUUGAAGGUUGGGUAACACUAACUGGAGGACCGAACCGACUAAUGUUGAAAAAUUAGCGGAUGACUUGUGGCUGGGGGUGAAAGGCCAAUCAAACCGGGAGAUAGCUGGUUCUCCCCGAAAGCUAUUUAGGUAGCGCCUCGUGAAUUCAUCUCCGGGGGUAGAGCACUGUUUCGGCAAGGGGGUCAUCCCGACUUACCAACCCGAUGCAAACUGCGAAUACCGGAGAAUGUUAUCACGGGAGACACACGGCGGGUGCUAACGUCCGUCGUGAAGAGGGAAACAACCCAGACCGCCAGCUAAGGUCCCAAAGUCAUGGUUAAGUGGGAAACGAUGUGGGAAGGCCCAGACAGCCAGGAUGUUGGCUUAGAAGCAGCCAUCAUUUAAAGAAAGCGUAAUAGCUCACUGGUCGAGUCGGCCUGCGCGGAAGAUGUAACGGGGCUAAACCAUGCACCGAAGCUGCGGCAGCGACACUAUGUGUUGUUGGGUAGGGGAGCGU
Molecule: ribosomal RNA, 1197 nt
Filed under: Escherichia coli
Lineage: Bacteria; Pseudomonadati; Pseudomonadota; Gammaproteobacteria; Enterobacterales; Enterobacteriaceae
Description: partial 23S ribosomal RNA
Rfam family: Bacterial large subunit ribosomal RNA
Source: RNAcentral